RNAcentral lists this small RNA (586 nucleotides) under Pongo abelii (Sumatran orangutan). RNAcentral's name for it is "retained intron". The record is from RNAcentral. Lineage: Eukaryota; Metazoa; Chordata; Mammalia; Primates; Hominidae.
UUUAUAGAUGAGCAAACCAAAGCCUAGAGAGGUAAAGUAAUUAGAUCAAGGUCACACAGCUACUGAUAGUAAGCUAAGUAUCAAGAUUUCAAGUUGCAGAACAACUGAAUAUUGAAUACAAAAAGCAUAGAAUACGAAGCAAUUUAAUAAAAAUGUAUUAGAAAUAGAAAUAUAUGAAUCCCACAGAAAUAAGAAUUGCCCAUUUUAAAUGUGCAGCAAAACUGCAUGUUUCCAUGUUAAGUAUUUGGAAUUCUAAGAACUUACUUCCAUAUAUGUGGUUGAUUUAAUGAAUGUUGUGACAGAGUAAUUUCAAUAGAUGUAUGUACCUAAUUGAUUAGGUUCGCCUAAUGAAACAAAUGAAAGAAGAACAAGAGAAAGCCAGACUGACUGAGUCUAGAAGAAACAGAGAGAUUGCUCAGUUGAAAAAGGAUCAACGUAAAAGAGAUCAUCAACUUAGACUUCUGGAAGCCCAAAAAAGAAACCAAGAAGUGGUUCUACGUCGCAAAACUGAAGAGGUUACAGCUCUUCGUCGGCAAGUAAGACCCAUGUCAGAUAAAGUGGCUGGGAAAGUUACUCGGAAGCUCAG